RNAcentral lists this unclassified non-coding RNA (3820 nucleotides) under Leishmania donovani. Its description in RNAcentral is "gene:LdHU3.04.0920(CDS-product:hypothetical_prote in_conserved)". The record is from RNAcentral. Lineage: Eukaryota; Euglenozoa; Kinetoplastea; Trypanosomatida; Trypanosomatidae.
GCGUGAUGGCUCCUUUUCCAUCGUGUGUUUUCCUCGAGGCUGCGAGACGCUCGCACAGCGACACACAAGCGCUUAGAUGCACACAAAUGUCAGACAACAUGACGGACUUCCUGCGCGGUCGCCCGCAUCACCGCUUGCACAAGUGCCGGGUCGAUCGGACAUCACACACACACGCGAUGCGAACGCAAGCGAGGAGGUCGACGUUGUGAGCGCCACGACUUGCGCCUCAUCUCCAGAAGCGGCUCUUGAGCAGCCGCGCCACGUCGCUCCACCACAGCAACGUCCAGGGCGUCUGCAGCGUGCGUCUCGGCGUCGCUGGCGGUCGCGCUCGGCAUCAGCGCCAGAGUUGUCCUUACCGACACCGCCGCCACAGCAUCUCUUCACGCGUGCGCACGCCCGUCACGAACGUGCGAACGAAGAUGCACGGUCGACGGGGGUCAGCCUCAGCAGUGUCACAGCCGUGGGUAGUCGCAGCCGCAGCUCGAACAUGCUAGAUGGCAUGCGUGUCAGCCCCCCGCUAGUGACAACAGCAGCACACGGCAGCUCCGGGGCUGCGAGUGCUGAUGACGAGGAGCGCAGAGCCGAGCACGCGUCCGAGCUGUCUUGGAAUCCGCGUGCACGAGCUCACCCUCUAAAUGGCGCCACACAUCACGGCGGCAACGCCAAGUUGAAGCGAUGCCUUGCCCACCGACCGUGGUCGGCAAGCGACGGACGGCCACCGCCUGCCUCACCGCAGCAGCAGCCGCUGCGGACGUCCCUCCGGGGCGCUCGCCCGUAUACGUAUGACAUUCCUGCGACACUAGCAAGCCUUCUCUGCCGCUACCUCUCUCGGACACCGCCACUAUCACCUGCAGCGGCCGCAGCAGGGGUCCCUAUGCCCGAAGAUGGCACCGCUUGCACUCACUUUCUCUCAGUACGCUGGGGCUGCGUGGAGGUCACGGCGCCGCAGUCCCAGUCCAGUCCGCAUCGACGGACUCCCGCGGAGGGGUGCUCGUGGGCCGCGGCGUCUUUUUCCCCUUCCGCGCGCCACCCUCCUCGUCCACCGCUGCGUGCAACGUCGUCUCCUUCACCACCACCGCGGCCGUCGGCUAGCCAUGUCAUUAACAAGCACGACGCCGACAAGGAGCAACGUGGCAGCAGCUCCGGCUGCAGUGUCACGAGUUGUCACGUCCCGCAUCGGUCGCAACAGCAGGAGCACCUGUGGAACCUCCUCACGCACUACCCACGUGACGCGAGUGCCUGUCUCGCGCUGGGCCUCAGCGUCUGCGCGGCGCUGGAUGCCAUGCGGGCAGCACCACCACCAGUGCUGCCCGUGGCGGUGCUGCAGGACAUCGCGGCGACGACGGCGACAGAGGUCUGCUUUUUCGUGCACGCCUGCGAGGAGGCGUGGCAGACGCCAGAAAAAGCAUCAUCCGAGCCAACGGCAGCUCCACCGCCGCUCGCCAGGAGCGUCGACGACUCUACGUGCACGUGUGGCUGUUUGGCCGCGGGGCAGCUGCUCGACCCCGCUCUGUAUAGGUUUCAUCUGCUGUACUACCGCCACCACCAUCGCUAUGCGCCGUUGCGGCGGGGCGACGGCGGCGAAGGCCAAGCUGGCGAGUCGGCGAUGAGCGAUGCGCAUAACGAUGGCGAGCGCAACGCGCUUGAGGAGGCGAGGGCAGCGGUUUUUGGCCACCCGCAUCCCCAGAGGCAGCCGCCUCGGCACCCACGGUACGCUCCGCUUCCUCCCCAUGAUGGGUGGCAGGCUCCCGGCACAGCGGCUGAGCGGGCACCCGGGCCCACUGCCACCUCUCCCUCUCCCCCUCCCCCUCCCCACCUCGCGCGUGCUCAAGGCACCUCGCCGACGGUGCUGCUGCCACUCCUUGCCGUGCAGACGCUCUCCAGAUUUGUGGGGGUCUCGAACGCGCGUCGGAGCUCGGCGAUGUCUCGUCAGCGACGGCGCUGGGGACUGCGCGAGACUCGGCGAAGUUGUCGGCGCUCUUCCGCCGCCCCUCCAGGGUCCACUGCGACUGCCGCACCACCUCUGCCGGGGGCGGAUUCGGCGAACGCGGCGUCGCUGGACAAGCAGGCUAUCUCGAGGCCAUCCACGACGCAACCGUCGCAGACGGCGAAGGGCAAGGACGACGAGGCGGAGGCGGAUCCAGUGAGCAACUACGCCCACUUCUGCGACGAGACGGAGCGGCUGUGGGCUGUGAUGGCGAGCGUCUUGCUCGCUUGGAAGCAGCUCGAGCAGUGUGUCUCCUUGACUGUGCUCGUGCCGCGGCUGGAGGUGCUUCCCUCAUCCUCAUUGCACACGCGGCAGUUCGCGCCGCAGUCAACAUCCUUGCAUGUCUCGAGAUCGUCGGCCUUGUCGCCGCUCGCGCGCGCCGCCGCGUCGAUGCGGCUGCACAGAACCACUGUUGAAGGCAUGCUGCUGCACGCCGCCUUUGAGCGCGCCGCGCUCGCUCGCCUGCGCGUCCGCCUUCUCUCCCUUCCCCCGAGGCCCCGAGACACGUCGGAGGCAAACCUGAGCGACGACGUCGCAUCCUCGCUGCUCAUGAUGGAAAGCUUUCUGUGCAGUGAGCUGCAGGGCCGGAUUGCCCACCUGCCGCUGUGGUGCGCCGUGGCGGUGGAGGUGCUGCAGCUCUACGUCGAGCAGUCUCGCCACGAUCGCGCGUUGCGGGAGCGAAGGGCGCAGGAGGAAAACGACGGCACUGCUGUUCCGGGCGCUGCGGGUCGCAAUGAUCACGCGGCAUGGGGAUUUGUGUACUCUGGCCGUGUGCAGCAAGUCGUGCUACUGGCCACACGCAUCAUGACCCUUCCCUGCGUGUUCGCCAGCGACGCGUCCACUCCUGCCUUGGCAGCGGCCCGAGCCGAGGCACCGCCGCCACCACCGUGUCGGACGUGCAGAUGGCAUCGAGCCUCGCUGGCAAAUCACGCUGCGAGGGCCGUUCGUGAAUGUGGCGACUCGCAGCACGCCUCGCAUGACUUCCAGGCCACCGCAGCAACACCCGCUUCGCCUGCAGGUGCGAAAGUGGCUGUGCCAGUCUCGGCGGCGACCGUGACGCAGCUCUCGGAGGUGAUGUCCCGGCAUCCGCUCUUCGGCGUUGCCGUGGCGGUGGUCGGUGGUGGCGUACCACUGCACUGGGCCGAGGCGUGUGUGGCACCGCGCGCGAUGAAUGUCCACUCUCUCGCAACAGUCCCACUGCCGCCUCUCCCAGCACAGAUAAACAGCCGCAGUGGCGACGGCGUGGAUGCGUGGCGGACUCCUGUCGCCGCCAUGGUGGCAGCAGACGCUGAGGCACAGACAGAGUUGCGUCGACUGGUGCAACUUCUCCACAAGUGGCUGCGGGAGGCGGAGAGGCGUCCGUGACUACCAUGGCGUUUUUCUCUUUCCUCACCUUUCGACACCAUGCAUGUGGAACGAAGUGAGGGGAGGGUGGGCAAUGCCCCAACAACAACACCAGCACCACCGCCGCCGCUGCUGCUGCUCUCCUAUCGUUCCCCUCCACACGCAUGCCUGUACCAACACGAAGCGGCUCUUCGUGCGUGAUGCGUGCGUAUCCUUUCUCGCCCCAACUCUUCAUCUAUCGUGUGUACACAACCUUCUGCUACAGCUCAGCUGCUGCGCUUCGGCCCUCCUCUCUCCGCGCCUCAUCUAUUCCUUGAAGCCAUCAACAAGCCACUGCAGCAAGGCCAAGACAGCAGCAGCGGGAAUCCAAGAAGCGAACGGUAUGACUCACGCCCUGCCCUCCCCGCCGCCCACCCCCAACUCUCUCCAGCUCUCUCUCUGUAUGGCCUCCCCUCGGGGAUAAGGUGGGCGUGGAUUAUCAAGGGAGAG